CCUUACCAUAUUCAAAAAAUUUUACUGAAGAACAAAAUCAGUACAUAUUUGAUUUAAAUCUAUUAAUGUACAAUACAACUAGGCAUUACAAUAAUAGAAUAAUGUACUUUGAUACAAAUAAAUUUAUAAAUAAUUUUGUAAUGACAAAUGAUACAAUGUAUCUAAGUUUUUAUUAUAAAAGACAAAUUGCUAUAUUGAUAGCAAAUAAUAUACAAAUUGACCCGGGUUCUACUACGGUAACCUCUUCUUUUAAUAAUAUUAGUAGUUCUACUAAUACAACUAUUGAUACACCUGAUAGUUUAAACUACAUGGUGCGACAAAGGGUGGGCCACAUCAACUGAAUGUUGUACAUCAAAACAUUCAGGGCCUUUCCGGCAAGGAUUUAGAAUUAAGUUUAUUUAUUGAGCAUUAUAUGGUACAAGUAAUGUGCAUAACUGAGCACUGGCACAGAAAUUCUGAAAUAAUAUUCCUUAAUAAUUGUAAUUACACAGUACAAAGUGCGUUUGUUAGAAAGGAAGCCAUCCAUGGUGGCUCUCUUAUAAUUGUGUCUAAUAAUAUAAAGUGUAAAGAACGUUUGGAUAUAGUUAAAUUAUCAGUGGAGCGCAACAUAGAACUGUCAUGUGUUGAACUGGAGCGGUUUGUUAUAAUUUGUGUGUACAGGCCUCCUUCUGGGGAUUUUAACAUCUUUGAAUCGGUAAUGGAAAAUUCCCUUUCUAAACUAAAUUCAAGUAGUAAAACACUUUUAGUUUGCGGUGAUUUCAAUGUUAAUAUUUUAGAAUCAUCUCCCUUAACUAUAAGGUUGCUUAACUUAUUUAAAUCUUUCAACUUGUUUAAUUUAUUUCUAGAACCAACAAGAAUUACGGCAACCUCGUCAACCUGUUUAGAUAAUAUAUUUAGUAAUUGUACCGCCACGGAGACUCUGAUUACCAAUGGCCUUCCUUCCGAUCACCGUGGUCAACUGGCAACUGGGUUUCCUGAUAGACAGCAUAAAAUCAAACGGGAAAUAACAUGUCGCCCCUUAACAACCAGUCGUUUUAAUACUUUCAAAAAUAAUAUAAUUGCAAAACUAGGCUAUGAGAUAUUAGAUAAUGACAAUCCCCAUUUAAUGUACGGAGCUCUGUUCGAUAUCAUUAAAUAUGAAUUUAAUUCUAGUUUUAAAACCAAAACUUUCGUAAUAAAAGAAACGGCUAAUUUCAAUGAGUGGGCUACCCCCGGCAUUUACAAGAGUAGAGCUAAGUUGUAUGAGCUGUAUGAAAUGAAAAAUUAUAAAUUUGAUGAAAAUUUUAUUACAUUUGUUAGAAAUUAUUCCAAAUUGUUUAAAAAAGUCUGUCAUGCGGCAAAAUCGAUGUAUUUUAGUAAUAAAAUCAAGAACAGUAAUAGUGUAAUUAAAGCUACGUGGAAUAUUAUUAAUAGUGAGACUGGAAAAAUAAACAGCGUGAUACUCGAUACAAAAUCGUUGAUGAGGAUCAAGUUUAUGAGAAAGAUUCGGAUGUAGCUAGAGAAUUUAAUACCUUCUUUUCUAAUAUUGCAAUAAAGACCACUAGCGACUUAGACUCCUCUACCACCAACGCCGAAAAAUUUUUACGAAGUAGUGUUAGCCAAUGUGAAGCCACAUUUACUUUUAGUUAUAUUACACCUCAUGAUAUAGUUAGAACCUUCAAGUCAUUAAAUUCAAAAAAGACAGGUGACUUGUGGGGUAUCUCUGUAAAAGUUAUAGACUGUAUUAUUGUCGAUAUUGCACCCUAUUUGGCUAGUAUAUUUAAUGAGUGUAUUGACUCAGGUACCUUUCCGGAACUUAUGAAAUACAGUAAGGUUAUACCACUCUUUAAAUCAGGGAGCAAGAAUGACCUAGGCAACUUUAGGCCGAUUUCAAUUUUACCCGCGUUAAGCAAAAUUUAUGAAAAAUCAUUUUAAAUCAGCUACUGCGCCAUUUCAAUGUACAUAAUAUUUUACAUGCGGAACAAUAUGGUUUCACUAAGGGUCGCUCAACAACGGAUGCCGGAGUUGCUCUACUGAAGCACAUUUAUACCGCGUGGGAGAAGUCGCAGAAUGCAAUUGGGGUGUUUUGUGAUCUUUCUAAGGCGUUUGACUGCGUCCAACAUGAAACGCUUACUCAGAAGCUUAAGUACUAUGGCAUUAGAGAUAGCGCACUUAGUGUUAUUAGCUCAUAUUUAAGCGGCAGAAUGCAAUGUGUUGACGUUAAUGGUGUCAAAUCUUCCAAUCUACCCGUUUGUUUGGGCGUACCGCAAGGCUCGAUUCUAGGGCCAUUUUAUUUCUUGUGUACAUUAAUGACUUGCCAUAUUAUUUAAAAUCAUUGUGUGAUGUAGUAUUGUUUGCUGAUGACACGUCUCUAAUUUUUAAAGUUGAUAGGAAUAGAGUAGAUUUUGAUGACGUGAAUUCGUGUCUGUCGUUAGUAACGCACUGGUUCACAGCCAAUAAUUUGGUUUUGAAUGCGAAGAAAACCAAAUGUAUAAAAUUUGCUUUGCCAAACGUGAAAAAUCUCGGCCCCAGUGUAGUUUUAAACAACGAGGAAAUUGAAACGGUCCAAGCUACCACUUUUCUAGGAAUAACUGUAGACUCCAAAAUUCAAUGGGGUGAGCAUAUAACUGGCCUCACGAAUAGACUAAGCUCUGCUGCGUACGCUGUCAGAAAGAUACACGCAGAUGGCAGCUCUGAAGUGGACAACAAGUGUUUUUUUUUAUAUAUAUAUAUUUUGCGACUAAUAUUGAAUUGUAUAAUUGUAAUUUAAUUAUAAUUAAAUUGUAAUAGACAGCUGUGUUGCUGGGAAGUUUGUUCUUCACCACUUCUUCUUCCCAGCCAUAACACUAGGAAGUGGUGAAAGGGGGGCGUUUUGGGGGUGCUGUAAUUUUGUAUUUUUUGACGUGAAAAAGUGCUAGAAUCUAGCCUAUUUUCAAUAAACGAUUUUGACUUUGA
Long non-coding RNA from Helicoverpa armigera (cotton bollworm), 2934 nucleotides. RefSeq lists it as uncharacterized. The transcript is spliced from 2 exons. The record is from RefSeq and is a predicted model, not a curated record. Lineage: Eukaryota; Metazoa; Arthropoda; Insecta; Lepidoptera; Noctuidae.